This 529-nucleotide ribosomal RNA is filed under the name Xylaria laevis. RNAcentral's name for it is "eukaryotic LSU rRNA". The stretch from base 157 to 310 matches the Rfam family "5.8S ribosomal RNA". The record is from RNAcentral. Lineage: Eukaryota; Fungi; Ascomycota; Sordariomycetes; Xylariales; Xylariaceae.
AACCCAUGUGACAUACCUUACGUUGCCUCGGCAGGUCGCGCCUACCCCGUAGCCUCCUACCCUGUAGGACCUACCCGGUAGACGCGGGUAAGCCUGCCGGCGGCCCAAGAAACUCUGUUUAGUAUUGAAUUCUGAACCUAUAACUAAAUAAGUUAAAACUUUCAACAACGGAUCUCUUGGUUCUGGCAUCGAUGAAGAACGCAGCGAAAUGCGAUAAGUAAUGUGAAUUGCAGAAUUCAGUGAAUCAUCGAAUCUUUGAACGCACAUUGCGCCCAUUAGUAUUCUAGUGGGCAUGCCUGUUCGAGCGUCAUUUCAACCCUUAAGCCUCUGUUGCUUAGUGUUGGGAGCCUACGGCACCCGUAGCUCCUCAAAGUUAGUGGCGGAGUCGGUUCACACUCUAGACGUAGUAAUUUUAUCUCGCCUAUCAGUUGGACCGGUCCCCUGCCGUAAAACACACCAAUUUCUAAAGGUUGACCUCGGAUCAGGUAGGAAUACCCGCUGAACUUAAGCAUAUCAAUAAGGCGGAGGA